UUCAUAUCAAUGUAUGACAAAACCCACUGAAAUGUUGUGAAGUAAUUAGCCUCCAACUAAUAAUAAAAAAAAUAAAUAAUUAAAAAAAAAAUAAAGGAAUGAUUCUUGCACAAAAAGGAAAAUUUCCAUGACAAACUAAUAAAUAUGAUAGUCAUUUCACUAAAAAAAAAAAAAAAAAGAGAAUGUGAAUUUACUUCUUUGGAGAAUUGGGAUGGACAUAGGUUGCAUCAUUAUCCUCUAAUUGCAGACAACUGUGUCAUUUUACUUUUUCACCAGGUUAAUGGAUCUUCAGGAGAUGAUAUGAUCUUGCCAGUGUUACUAUUUACAUUCUUUAUAUGGAAGAAACUCUUAAAUGGAUUAGAUAGUAAAAUGAUACAUUGAUAGAAUUGCAUGAAGUGUUUGUUUUUGUCCUUCACUCAUUAAUUCAUCAUAACAUUUUAAAUUUUAAGAUAUUUGAGUUAUCUAAGCCAUAUGACUUCAACAACAAGGCAAAGCCAGUAAGUAACUAAGGGAUCACAUCUGUUUGAUAAAGUUUAGGUUUAAAAGUACUUACUGAUAACGAAAGAAUGCUCAAACUACUGCACAAUUGCACUCAUCUCACAUGCUAGUAAAGUGAUGCUUAAAAUUCUCCAAGCCAGUCUUCAGCAAUACAUGAACUGUGAACUUCCAGAUGUUCAAGCUGGUUUUAGAAAAGGCAGAGGAACCAGAGAUCAAAUUGCCAACAUCCACUGGAUCAUUGAAAGAGCAAGAGCAUUCCAGAAAAACGUCUAUUUCUGCUUUAUUGACUAUGCCAAAGUCUUUGACUGUGUGGAUCACAAUAAACUGUGGAAAAUUCUGAAAGAGAAGGGAAUACCAGACCACCUGACCUGCCUCUUGAGAAAUCUGUAUGCAGGUCAGGAAGCAACAGUUAGAACUGGACAUGGAACAACAGACUGGUUCCAAAUAGGAAAAGGAGUACAUCAAGGCUGUAUAUUGUCACCCUGCUUAUUAAACUUAUAUGCAGAGUACAUCAUGAGAAACACUGGGCUGGAAGAAACACAAGCUAGAAUCAAGAUUGCUGGGAGAAAUAUCAAUAACCUCAGAUAUGCAGAUGACACCACGGUUAUGGCAGAAAGUGAAGAGGAACUAAAAAGCCUCUUGAUGAAGGUGAAAGAGGAGAGUGAAAAAGUUGGCUUAAAGCUCAGCAUUCAAAAAACUAAGAUAAUAGUAUCUGCUCGCAUAACUUCAUGGCAAAUAGAUGGGGAAACAGUGGAAACAGUGUCAGACUUUAUUUUUCUGGGCUCCAAAAUCACUGCAGAUGGUGAUUGCAGCCAUGAAAUUAAAAGACACUUACUCCCUGGAAGGAAAGUUAUGACCAACCUAGAAAGGAUAUUAAAAAGCAGAAACAUUACUUUGCCAACAAAGGUCUGUCUAGUCAAGGCUAUGGUUUCUUCAGUAGUCAUGUAUGGAUGUGAGAGUUGGACUAUAAAGAAGGCUGAGCGCAGAAGAAUUGAUGCUUUUCAACUGUGGUGUUGGAGAAGACUCUUGAGAGUCCCUUGGACUGCAAGGACAUCCAAGCAGUCCAUCCUAAAGGAGAUCAGUCCUGGAUGUUCAUUGGAAGGACUGAUGUUGAAGCUGAAACUCCAAUACUUUGGCCACCUGAUGUGAAGAGAUGACUCAUUUGAAAAGACCCUGAUGCUGCGAAAGAUUGAGGGCAGGAGGAGAGGGGGACAACAGAGGAUGAGAUGGCUGGAUGGCAUCACUGACUCGACAGACAUGGGUUUGAGUAAACUCUGGGAGUUAGUGAUGGACAGGGAGGCCUGGCGUGCUGCGGUUCAUGGGGUUGCAAAGAGUCAGACACAACUUAGUGACUGGACUGAACUGAACUGACCUGGCAACCAUCUUUUCUUCCUUUAACUUAUUUUUGUUAGACUGCUAAUUAAAUAUAUAAAAACAAAAAUACAUUUUCCAGUAACAAAAUCAAGUUUGUAAAUUACAAACAAAACUACAACAUUAUUAAAGUUCAGAUAAAGUAAGCUCUUUUCUGUGUAGUAAAAAAUAUAUAUACAAUACAAAAUUUGCCAUUUUAACCUGUUUAAGUGUACAGUUCUUUGGCAUUAAUUACAUUUACAGUGUUAUGCAGCUGUCACCAGUGUCUAUUUCCAAAACUUUUUCAUCUCCCAAAACAGAAACUCUGCAUCCAUUAAGCAGUAACUCCUCUUUUCUCCAUCCCCCAGUCACUGGUAACCUCCAAUCUACUAUAUCCCAAAGAAUUUGCUUGCUUUCUAGAUAUUUCAUAUAGGUGGAAUCAUACACUAUUUGUCCUUUUAUGUUUGGUUUAUUUCACUUUGCACGAUGUUUUCAAGGUCCAUUGAUAUUGUGGCAUGUAUCAGAAUUUCAUUCCUUUUUAUGGCUGAAUAAUAAUGUUCCAUUGUACGUAUAUACCACAUUUCUUUUAUCUGUUCAUCUGUUGAUGGACACUUGGGUUGUUUCCACAUUUUGGCUGUUGUGAAUAAUGCUGCAGUGAAUAUUUGUGUACAAGUAUCAGUUUAAGCCCCUGUUCAGUUCUUUAAGGGUAAAUACCUAGGAGAAGAUUAACUUUUAUAUAAAGCUAAUUGAAGAAAAUAUCUUCAUGACAUUAGAUGGGUUGUCUUCUUAAACAAGAUCCAAAAAACAUAAACCAUAAAGAAAAAAAUUAUUUGAUACAUUAAAAUUAAGACAUGUUAAUUAUUUCUAAAAAGGAUACCAUGAACUGACCAAAUAACAGUUAAUAGGCUGAGUUAAAGAACACUGUGGGGGAUGUGGGCUCAGUUGCUCAGUCAUGUCUGACUCUUUGCAAUACUAUGGACUAUAUCCCUCCAGGCUCCUUUUUUCAUGGGAUUCUCCAGGCAAGAAUACUGGAGUGGGUUGCCAUUUCCUCCUUCAGGGGAUCUUCCCAACCCAGGGGUCAAACCCGCGUCUCCUACGUCUUCUGCACUGCGGGUGGAUUCUUUACUGCUUGAGCCAUUGGGGACACUUAACAGUAGGAAUUUAUAUGUGGAAUAUGCAAGUCAAUAAGAUAAUAGGGAAUUUAACAGUUAAAUGAGCCCAGUAAACUAAAGGUGAUUCACAAAAUCACCCAAAUAACUAAUGUGUAAAGAAAGAGGUACUUCUGGGCAUUUAUCCCCAAAUGUUCAUACUUCUCUCCACCAGGGGACAGGGGACAACUCUGUCUGUUGUAGUACUGUCUGUGGUAGGAGGAACUUGGAGUUAACCUAGAUGUGGAGAAUGGAUGUAACACCGGGCAGCAGCUACAAGCACUUACCUGUUGUACAUACAGCUACCAUGGAAAUGUCCUAAAAUCUUAGUGUACUGUGAAAAUUGUUUGAAAUUGAACAAGAUCUACAACAGUAUCAUUUGAAUAAUUAAAAAUGGAUAUCCAAAGAAAAUCAAAUUUUUUUUCAAGAAUAAAUAUCCAAGUCAUAUACCAAGUUAAAUAUAUGCCCAUUAUUUGUUUGGGUACCUAUGGGUGGGUGACUGGGAUUAUGGAGAAUUAUAGUGGAGAUGAAAGAUUAAGAACAGAAAAACAGGAAAUUUAGUGAUCACUGCUUAACAUUCUUGACUUUAAUGUGAACUUCUAGAGUUUUCUGAUUUACUCUUCUUUCUAUAGACUUUCCACCUAUAGAAAAGCCUACUCCUUUAAGUAAACAAUUCAAAGAUUUUUUUUGCAUUUAAGCUGCAAAUAAAAUUUCAUGGUUGAAAACAAUCAGAAAUGAUAGGAAAGAAGAAAUCAAAUUUCACCCAAUUCCUCCAAACCACCACCAGCGAUCUUCAUAAAAUGGGGGUGUGAUAAGACGAAAGAUGCCUGUAUCAGAUCCCUGGAACCUGUGAAUAUUGUCUUAUUUGGAAAAAGGGUCUCUGCAGAUGUGAUUAAGUAUCUUCAUAUGAAGAGGUUAUUUUAAAUUAUCUGGAUGGGCCCUAAAUCCAAUGACAAGUGUCCUUAUAGGAGGCAGUAGAAAAGACACAGACACACACACAGUAAAGAAGGUGAUGUGAAGACCUUCACCCCAAGAGAUCAGGGUGAUGUGGCCACAAGCCAGCAAUGCCAAGGGGUGCCUUAGCAUGGGUUCUGCCCCAGAGUCUCUGCAGGGCAUGUGACUUUACUGAUACCUUGAUUUUAGAUUUAUGGGGUCCAGAACUGUAAGAGUAAAUGUCUAUUGUUUUAAUCCACUGACUUUGUGGUUAUUUGUUACAGUAGCCAACAGGAAGCUCAUAUAGAAGGAUAUGAAGUUGCUUCCUUGUGGCUUCAGGGCUUCUCACACAAGAUAGGUUAACACCCCUUUGUACAGAAUAGCUUUUCACAGCAUAGUGGCCCUCCUGAUUCCCCUCUUGGAAGAUGAAGGCCUGUAGCAACCUAUUGGUCCAUUAAUUAUUAAGUGGUCUUUCUUCUCCCCAUAGAUUUCAGAAAUCUGCCCCAGCUUAUCAAACAGAAAUACUUCAUGAAAUAAAAUUUGGCUUCAGGCUAUUUCUUAGCAGAGAAAUAAACAUAAUUUUAGGUUUCAUACUUUGUUGUCAGUGAACAAAUUGGCUGUACAUCUUCUAUACCAAGAAUCUAGAGAUUUGGUAGUUCUAAGAUUUGUUAAUUUAGAACUUAAAGACCCAAAUACAUUAUUCCCUCCUUUCCUUCCUUCUCUCCCUCCUUUCUUCCCUUCUUCCUUCCUUCCCUUUGCUAUCUUCAGUUCCAUUGCUUAGGAUCACUUCUUGUAUCAUUACUUUCAGAGGUGGAAACCACCCUUUUCCUCUCACACACACCUUCUUAAAAGCAGAUAAGUCUCCCAUUGAACUUGUCUCAUAGAUUAUCAACUCAUUGGUGAUUGAUUACAUGCCCAGGCUGAAUCAAAUCUGAAGAAAGAGGAUCUACCACAAUAGAACCAGUUGUUGAGGAGCCAGAAUUACAUACUUUGAAGGGAAAGAAAUGCUAUAAUAAGAUUGCUAAAUUAUAUACAAAUUUGGACCAUGUAUUACCAGGUAAUAAAACUGUAAUCUUUAGGGCUAACUUAUCUACGGGACAGGGGGAACAGAAGACCAAAACAAUAUCAUAUCAUUCUUCUAUGUGUUAACUGCUAACUUGCCAAGAUUGUAAAACAUCUGGGCCCUAAUCAAUUUUUAGUUAAAUAGUUAUAUUUCCUGAGAAAGUCAAGUGAGCCUUGGGUGGGCUUAUUAGAAAUGCAUGAUAGUAAAAGGCCAUCCAACCAUCUUUUUUUCUUUAUUUUCAACUUUUGAAAUCUUUUUUUUUUUUUUUUUGACAGGAGUAAGUGAGAGUGUCAGAGGAGAUGGCAUAGGAAGAAAAAGAUAAUAGGGCAAAGGCCUUGUUCCAAUCUACGCACAUAUUCCAGAUUGUUGGACCUUCAGAUGGAAGUAGUUACAUUAUAGAUUACUAUGGAACCAGACUUACAAGACUGAGUAUUACCAAUGAGACAUUUAGGAAAACACAGUUAUAUCCAUGAAUACUGUUUAAAAGAAACAG
Molecule: RNA transcript, 5485 nt
Organism: Dama dama (fallow deer)
Lineage: Eukaryota; Metazoa; Chordata; Mammalia; Artiodactyla; Cervidae
Gene: TM2D1
Gene name: TM2 domain containing 1
Exons: 2
Source: RefSeq, a predicted model, not a curated record